CCCUUAGAUGUUCUGGGCCGCACGCGCGCUACACUGAUGCAUUCAACGAGUCUAAAACCUGGUCUGAUAGGGCUGGGUAAUCUUUUGAAAGUGCAUCGUGAUUGGGAUAGAUGAUUGCAAUUCUUCAUCUUCAACGAGGAAUGCCUAGUAAACGCAAGUCAUCAGCUUGCAUUGAUUACGUCCCUGCCCUUUGUACACACCGCCCGUCGCUCCUACCGACUGAAUGAUCCGAUGAAUACCAUGGAUUGAGAGUACGAAUGGGUUUGCUCAUUUCUGCUGCUCGAGAAGUGGAGUAAAUCUUAUCAUUUAGAGGAAGGAGAAGUCGUAACA
RNAcentral lists this ribosomal RNA (330 nucleotides) under uncultured eukaryote. Its description in RNAcentral is "partial 18S ribosomal RNA". It matches the Rfam family "Eukaryotic small subunit ribosomal RNA", at positions 1470 to 1796 of the family's 1831-position model. The record is from RNAcentral.